GUGUCUGAGAGGAUUCGCUGGUGAGAUCUACUGUGUCCUGCUCCUUCCUGUCCUGCGUUUGAUUCAACAGACCUCACCACAAAGGACUGCAGUGAAAAAGGCGGCAUGUGCAUGAUUUGCUAGCAUACGGAGCAGAUGUGUCUGUGAAAAUGCGCUGGUGAGAUCUACUGUGUCCUGCUCUCCCUGUCCCACAGCUUCUCCACAGAAGACAGAAGUGCUGAAUAAAUGGCAACAAUGGAUGGUCAAGAGAAACCUCUCAGAAAUCAUCUGCAAGAUUUUGAACAUCUCAAAGACAAACUGUUUGAAUAUCAGCACGAAGGGUUAAUGUUCCUUUGCAAUGCAUACAAAGAGGGAAAGAAAGGUGUCAUUUUAGCAGAUGAAAUGGGACUAGGAAAGUCUAUUCAGGCAAUAGCAUUUCUGGCCAACAUGAACAGCCAAAUGAUGUCACAAGAACAGCCAAGAGUCCCAAGCACAUUGCUAGUUGUGCCUUUAAAUUUAGUGGAUGAUUGGGUCAGCAAAAUUCACAAGUGGGCACCCUGGAUGAGAUGUUUCAAAUACCAUCAUUCAGAACAGAAA
This is a long non-coding RNA of Engraulis encrasicolus (European anchovy), 576 nucleotides long. RefSeq lists it as uncharacterized. The transcript is spliced from 3 exons. The record is from RefSeq and is a predicted model, not a curated record. NCBI's taxonomy places the organism in Eukaryota, Metazoa, Chordata, Actinopteri, Clupeiformes, Engraulidae.